UUGUAAGCUCCUUUCAACUCCGGUUCAACCUUUGCUUUUCUUUGUUUUUGGCUCCACAUAUGUUAUGAAGGUUUUUUAGCAACCUCUUUAAUGCACGCACAAAGGUCUUACCAAAGUCAAGAUAAACUUUCUUUUUUAAGAAGAUCGGUUACAAAGACAAGGUCCAAGCAAAUUCAAGCCAAGUAAAUUUAUAUAUGUAUUAUCAUGUGUCCAUGGGUUUACAAAGCUGCCAAGAAGAAUUGAAGCUUGCUUGGAGGACUUCACUACUAGUGGAAGAUCCAAAAUCUUGAAGAAAGUCGUUUUAGGAGUUUAUAAAAGAAUCCCUACCUUAGAAUUUUGGCCAGUUUACGUCAAUUAUUUAAGAAAAAUUAGCAACAACUUAUCUUGAAAGACAUCUUUUGUACAAUUCGACUAGCC
Molecule: long non-coding RNA, 417 nt
Filed under: Gossypium raimondii (Peruvian cotton)
Lineage: Eukaryota; Viridiplantae; Streptophyta; Magnoliopsida; Malvales; Malvaceae
Description: long non-coding RNA (GRAI_LNC007988)
Source: RNAcentral